GCCAGCCAGAGCCCGGCGGCGAUAAUCGGAAUCGAUGCCACCACUCCCACUAGGUUCAACCAUCCGAUCACCGCGUUGCUUGCUUGGGAUUAAUUAGGAGGGGUUGCAAAACCUCAGCAUGGCAAUCCAAGGCAAGACGGAAGAACAUGGCAGAGAUGAAGUGCUUCCCAACAGACUCCGCAAGCUUAAUCUGAGCAAGCCAGUAGGAUGAAGACUCCAGCCUGUUAAGCCUACACUUGGUGCAGUUCUUAGCACUCUGGUAUGGUGUCUCCGGUGCCACACUCUUCACCAAGGACACAGUUUCUGAAAUCUAUUCUUAGAAGCAUUCUUGCCAUCAUCAACAGUGGCUUCAGCCUUGAAGUUUUUCUGUAAACCCAACUUUGUGAGGCUCUCCACCGG
Molecule: long non-coding RNA, 399 nt
Organism: Dioscorea cayenensis subsp. rotundata (Guinea yam)
Lineage: Eukaryota; Viridiplantae; Streptophyta; Magnoliopsida; Dioscoreales; Dioscoreaceae
Exons: 3
Source: RefSeq, a predicted model, not a curated record